GACGAACGCUGGCGGCGUGCUUAACACAUGCAAGUCGAACGGAAAGGCCCUGCUUUUGUGGGGUGCUCGAGUGGCGAACGGGUGAGUAACACGCGAGUAACCUGCCCCUGACUUUGGGAGAUCUUCAGGAAACUGGGGCGAAUACCGGAUAGGAGCUCCUGCUGCAUGGUGGGGGUUGGAAAAUUUCGGCGGUGGGGGAUGGACUCGCGGCUUAUCAGCUUGUUGGUGGGGUAGUGACUUACCAAGGCUUCGACGGGUAGCCGGCAUGAGAGGGUGAACAGCCACAUUGGGACUGAGAUACGGACCAGAAUGCUACGGGAGGCAGUGGUGGGAAAUAUUGCACAAUGGGGGGAAGCCUGAUGCAGAAACGCCGGGUGCGGGAUAACGGCCUUCGAGUUGUAAACCGCUUUCGCCUGUGACGAAGCGUGAGUGACGGUAAUGGAUAAAGAAGCACCAGCUAACUACGUG
Molecule: ribosomal RNA, 468 nt
Filed under: uncultured bacterium
Lineage: Bacteria
Description: partial 16S ribosomal RNA
Rfam family: Bacterial small subunit ribosomal RNA
Source: RNAcentral